This 468-nucleotide ribosomal RNA is filed under the name uncultured bacterium. RNAcentral's name for it is "partial 16S ribosomal RNA". It matches the Rfam family "Bacterial small subunit ribosomal RNA", at positions 28 to 507 of the family's 1533-position model. The record is from RNAcentral.
GACGAACGCUGGCGGCGUGCUUAACACAUGCAAGUCGAACGGAAAGGCCCUGCUUUUGUGGGGUGCUCGAGUGGCGAACGGGUGAGUAACACGUGAGUAACCUGCCCUUGACUUUGUGAUAACUUCAGGAAACUGGGGCUAAUACCGGAUAUGAGCUCCUGCUGCAUGGUGUGGGUUGGAAAGUUUCGGCGGUUGGGGAUGGAUUCGCGGCUUAUCAGCUUGUUGGUGUGGUAGUGGCUUACCAAGGCUUUGACGGGUAGCCGGCCUGAGAGGGUGACCGGCCACAUUGGGACUGCGAGACGGCCCAGACUCCUACCGGAGGCAGCAGUCGGGAAUAUUGCAGAGCGGGCCGAAGCCUGAUGCAGCAACGCCGCGUGCGGGAUGCCGUCCUUCGGGUUGUAAACCGAUUUCGAAUGUGACGAAGCCUGAGUGACGGUAAUGGGUAAAGAAGCCCCGGCUAACUACGUG